This 436-nucleotide ribosomal RNA is filed under the name uncultured Oscillospiraceae bacterium. RNAcentral describes it as "partial 16S ribosomal RNA". It matches the Rfam family "Bacterial small subunit ribosomal RNA", at positions 341 to 792 of the family's 1533-position model. The record is from RNAcentral. Lineage: Bacteria; Bacillati; Bacillota; Clostridia; Eubacteriales; Oscillospiraceae.
ACGGAAGGCAGCAGUCGGGAAUAUUGCGCAAUGGAGGAAACUCUGACGCAGUGACGCCGCGUAUGGGAAGAAGGUUUUCGGAUUGUAAACCAUUGUCGUUAGGGAAGAAGAAGUGACAGUACCUAAGGAGGAAGCUCCGGCUAACUAUGUGCCAGCAGCCGCGGUAAUACAUAGGGAGCGAGCGUUAUCCGGAUUUAUUGGGUGUAAAGGGUGCGUAGACGGGAAUUUAAGUUGGUUGUGAAAUCCCUCGGCUCAACUGAGGAACUGCAACCAAAACUGGAUUUCUUGAGUGCUGGAGAGGAAAGUGGAAUUCCUAGUGUAGCGGUGAAAUGCGUAGAUAUUAGGAGGAACACCAGUGGCGAAGGCGACUUUCUGGACAGCAACUGACGUUGAGGCACGAAAGUGUGGGGAGCAAACAGGAUUAGAUACCCUGGUA